UACGGAGGGUGCAAGCGUUGUCCGGAAUCACUGGGCGUAAAGGGCGCGUAGGCGGCCCGGUAAGUAGGGGGUGAAAUCCUGCGGCUUAACCGCAGGGCUGCCUUCUAAACUGUCGGGCUCGAGCACGGUAGAGGCAGAUGGAAUUCCCGGUGUAGCGGUGGAAUGCGUAGAGAUCGGGAAGAACAUCAGUGGCGAAGGCGGCGAUCUGGACGAUGACUGACGCUGAGACGCGAAAGCGUGGGGAGCAAACAGG
Molecule: ribosomal RNA, 253 nt
Filed under: uncultured bacterium
Lineage: Bacteria
Description: partial 16S ribosomal RNA
Rfam family: Bacterial small subunit ribosomal RNA
Source: RNAcentral